UACAGAGGUCUCAAGCGUUGUUCGGAUUCAUUGGGCGUAAAGGGUGUGUAGGUGGCGCCGUAAGUCGGGUGUGAAAUUUCGGAGCUUAACUCCGAAACUGCAUUCGAUACUGCGGUGCUUGAGGACUGGAGAGGAGACUGGAAUUCAUGGUGUAGCAGUGAAGUGCGUAGAGAUCAUGAGGAAGACCAGUGGCGAAGGCGGGUCUCUGGACAGUUCCUGACACUGAGGCACGAAGGCCAGGGGAGCAAACGGG
RNAcentral lists this ribosomal RNA (253 nucleotides) under uncultured bacterium. RNAcentral describes it as "partial 16S ribosomal RNA". It matches the Rfam family "Bacterial small subunit ribosomal RNA", at positions 524 to 776 of the family's 1533-position model. The record is from RNAcentral.